RNAcentral lists this ribosomal RNA (301 nucleotides) under uncultured bacterium. RNAcentral's name for it is "partial 16S ribosomal RNA". It matches the Rfam family "Bacterial small subunit ribosomal RNA", at positions 509 to 809 of the family's 1533-position model. The record is from RNAcentral.
CAGUCGCCGCGGGAAUACGAAGGGUGCAAGCGUUAAUCGGAAUUACUGGGCGUAAAGCGUGCGUAGGCGGUGAGUUAAGUCUGCUGUGAAAUCCCCGGGCUCAACCUGGGAAUGGCAGUGGAUACUGGCUCGCUAGAGUGUGUCAGAGGAUGGUGGAAUUCCCGGUGUAGCGGUGAAAUGCGUAGAGAUCGGGAGGAACAUCAGUGGCGAAGGCGGCCAUCUGGGACAACACUGACGCUGAGGCACGAGAGCGUGGGGAGCAAACAGGAUUAGAUACCCGCGUAGUCCCUGUCUCUUAUAA